Molecule: unclassified non-coding RNA, 236 nt
Filed under: uncultured fungus
Lineage: Eukaryota; Fungi
Description: partial contains 5.8S ribosomal RNA, internal transcribed spacer 2, and large subunit ribosomal RNA
Rfam family: 5.8S ribosomal RNA (bases 1-52)
Source: RNAcentral
AACGCACAUUGCGCCCGCCGGCAUUCCGGCGGGCAUGCCUGUUCGAGCGUCAUUUCAACCCUCAGGCCCUGCCUGGUGUUGGGGCACCGCCGUCGCGGGCCCCCAAAGUCAGCGGCGGGCACGGCCCGGACCCGAGCGUAGUAGCAUAACUCGCUAGGGGCUCCGGCCGCGCUCCGGCCGUAAAACCACUACAGAAGGUUGACCUCGAAUCAGGUAGGAAUACCCGCUGAACUUAA